CGAGUAGGCUGAAUGACCGCGAGCGUUUGCUCGAGGAAAGUCCGAGCACCAUAGGGCAGGAUGCCGGAUAACGUCCGGUGAAGGCGACUUCAAGGAAAGUGCAACAGAGAGAUACCGCGAAUCCCGUUUGGGACGCAAGGGUGGAAAGGUGAGGUAAGAGCUCACCAGCGGCCUGGCGACUUGUCCGCUAUGUAAACCCCAUCCGGUGCAAGGUUGAUAGGGAGCAAUUGUGGCGGCCCGUCACGCUCCGGGUAACUGCUUGAGCCCCGCGGUGACGCAGGGCCUAGAUAGAUGGUCAUUCACGACAGAACUCGGCUUAUAGGCUUGCUCGCUUC
Molecule: RNase P RNA, 335 nt
Filed under: Bacillota bacterium
Lineage: Bacteria; Bacillati; Bacillota
Also listed under: 1 other name
Description: Firmicutes bacterium RNase P RNA component class A
Rfam family: Bacterial RNase P class A
About the family: Ribonuclease P (RNase P) is a ubiquitous endoribonuclease, found in archaea, bacteria and eukarya as well as chloroplasts and mitochondria. Its best characterised activity is the generation of mature 5'-ends of tRNAs by cleaving the 5'-leader elements of precursor-tRNAs.
Source: RNAcentral